CCUACGGGUGGCUGCAGUGAGGAAUAUUGGUCAAUGGACGCAAGUCUGAACCAGCCAAGCCGCGUGCAGGAAGAAGGUUCUAUGAGUUGUAAACCGCUUUUGUAAGAGGGCAAAUGCAGAUACGUGUCGCUGUUUGAGAGUAUCGUACGAAUAAGCAUCGACUAACUCCGUGCCAGCAGCCGCGGUAAUACGGAGGAUUCAAGCGUUAUCCGGAUUUAUUGGGUUUAAAGGGUGCGUAGGCGGGUUGAUAAGUUAGCGGUGAAAUCCUGGGGCUCAACUUCAGAAUUGCCUUUGAUACUGUUCAUCUAGAGAGUGGGAGAGGUAGGCGGAAUGCGUGGUGUAGCGGUGAAAUGCGUAGAGAUCAUGCAGAACACCGAUUGCGAAGGCAGCUUACCAGACCACUACUGACGCUGAGGCACGAAAGCGUGGGGAGCGAACAGGAUUAGAUACCCGGGUAGUC
This 460-nucleotide ribosomal RNA is filed under the name uncultured bacterium. Its description in RNAcentral is "partial 16S ribosomal RNA". It matches the Rfam family "Bacterial small subunit ribosomal RNA", at positions 338 to 795 of the family's 1533-position model. The record is from RNAcentral.